RNAcentral lists this ribosomal RNA (253 nucleotides) under uncultured bacterium. RNAcentral's name for it is "partial 16S ribosomal RNA". It matches the Rfam family "Bacterial small subunit ribosomal RNA", at positions 524 to 776 of the family's 1533-position model. The record is from RNAcentral.
UACGUAGGGUGCGAGCGUUGUCCGGAAUUACUGGGCGUAAAGAGCUCGUAGGUGGUUUGUCGCGUUGUUCGUGAAAUCUCACGGCUUAACUGUGAGCGUGCGGGCGAUACGGGCAGACUGGAGUACUGCAGGGGAGACUGGAAUUCCUGGUGUAGCGGUGGAAUGCGCAGAUAUCAGGAGGAACACCGGUGGCGAAGGCGGGUCUCUGGGCAGUAACUGACGCUGAGACGCGAAAGCGUGGGGAGCAAACAGG